ACGCUGGCGGCAGGCCUAACACAUGCAAGUCGAGCGGUAGAGAGAAGCUUGCUUCUCUUGAGAGCGGCGGACGGGUGAGUAAUGCCUAGGAAUCUGCCUGGUAGUGGGGGAUAACGUUCGGAAACGGACGCUAAUACCGCAUACGUCCUACGGGAGAAAGCAGGGGACCUUCGGGCCUUGCGCUAUCAGAUGAGCCUAGGUCGGAUUAGCUAGUUGGUGAGGUAAUGGCUCACCAAGGCGGCGAUCCGUAACUGGUCUGAGAGGAUGAUCAGUCACACUGGAACUGAGACACGGUCCAGACUCCUACGGGAGGCAGCAGUGGGGAAUAUUGGACAAUGGGCGAAAGCCUGAUCCAGCCAUGCCGCGUGUGUGAAGAAGGUCUUCGGAUUGUAAAGCACUUUAAGUUGGGAGGAAGGGUUGUAGAUUAAUACUCUGCCAUUUUGACGUUACCGACAGAAUAAGCACCGGCUAACUCUGUGCCAGCAGCCGCGGUAAUACAGAGGGUGCAAGCGUUAAUCGGAAUUACUGGGCGUAAAGCGCGCGUAGGUGGUUUGUUAAGUUGGAUGUGAAAUCCCCGGGCUCAACCUGGGAACUGCAUUCAAAACUGACUGACUAGAGUAUGGUAGAGGGUGGUGGAAUUUCCUGUGUAGCGGUGAAAUGCGUAGAUACAGGAAGGAACACCAGUGGCGAAGGCGACCACCUGGACUAAUACUGACACUGAGGUGCGAAAGCGUGGGAGCAAAC
Molecule: ribosomal RNA, 744 nt
Filed under: uncultured bacterium
Lineage: Bacteria
Description: bacterial SSU rRNA
Rfam family: Bacterial small subunit ribosomal RNA
Source: RNAcentral